GGGCGUUUGCUUGUUUUAUAAUGAGAGGAAAGUCCGGACACCGUAGAGCAGAGUUCCUUAUGAAAAUAAGGGCGUGACGAAGUAAUUCGUUAUGACGGAUAGUGUCGCAGAAAAUAAACCGCCUUUGUUUUAUAUGAAGGUAAGGGUGAAAAGGGGAGGUAAGAGCUCACCGCAUCAAAGGUAACAAUGAUGGCAGGAAAAACCCAACUCGGUGCAAGGCAAAAUAGGGGAUCAGGCGGCUCGUCUAAUGAUUCCGGGUAUGCCGCAAAGAUAAAUGAACGCACAGUUUUGCAUGCAGUUUGUAUGCUUGAUGGACAGAAUCCGGCUUAUAG
Molecule: RNase P RNA, 332 nt
Filed under: marine eukaryotic metagenome
Description: Bacterial RNase P class A
Rfam family: Bacterial RNase P class A
About the family: Ribonuclease P (RNase P) is a ubiquitous endoribonuclease, found in archaea, bacteria and eukarya as well as chloroplasts and mitochondria. Its best characterised activity is the generation of mature 5'-ends of tRNAs by cleaving the 5'-leader elements of precursor-tRNAs.
Source: RNAcentral